This 488-nucleotide ribosomal RNA is filed under the name uncultured bacterium. RNAcentral describes it as "bacterial SSU rRNA". It matches the Rfam family "Bacterial small subunit ribosomal RNA", at positions 29 to 507 of the family's 1533-position model. The record is from RNAcentral.
AGCGAACGUUAGCGGCGCGCCUAACACAUGCAAGUCGAACGGCAGCACGGGUGCUUGCACCUGGUGGCGAGUGGCGAACGGGUGAGUAAUGUAUCGGAACGUGCCCAGUAGUGGGGGAUAACUACUCGAAAGAGUGGCUAAUACCGCAUGAGAACUGAGGUUGAAAGCGGGGGGACCUUCGGGCCUCGCGCUACUGGAGCGGCCGAUAUCAGAUUAGGUAGUUGGUGGGGUAAAGGCCUACCAAGGCCACGAUCGGUAGCUGGUCUGAGAGGAUGAUCAGCCACACUGGGACUGAGACACGGCCCAGACUCCUACGGGAGGCAGCAGUGGGGAAUAUUGGACAAUGGGCGCAAGCCUGAUCCAGCAAUGCCGCGUGUGUGAAGAAGGCCUGCGGGUUGUAAAGCACUUUCAGUGGGGAAGAACAGGUUCGGGUCGAUACCCCGGAGCCCUGACGUUACCCACCAGAAGAAGCACCGGCUAACUCCGUG